GAUGAACGCUGGCGGCGUGCUUAACACAUGCAAGUCGAACGAAGCACUUUAUUUGAUUUCCUUCGGGACUGAUUAUUUUGUGACUGAGUGGCGGACGGGUGGGUAACGCGUGGGUAACCUGCCUUGUACAGGGGGAUAACAGUUGGAAACGGCUGCUAAUACCGCAUAAGCGCACAGCAUCGCAUGAUGCAGUGUGAAAAACUCCGGUGGUAUAAGAUGGACCCGCGUUGGAUUAGCUAGUUGGUGAGGUAACGGCCCACCAAGGCGACGAUCCAUAGCCGACCUGAUAGGGUGACCGGCCACAUUGGGACUGAGACACGGCCCAAACUCCUACGGGAGGCAGCAGUGGGGAAUAUUGCACAAUGGGCGAAAGCCUGAUGCAGCGACGCCGCGUGAGCGAAGAAGUAUUUCGGUAUGUAAAGCUCUAUCAGCAGGGAAGAUAAUGACGUUACCUGACUAAGAAGCACCGGCUAAAUACGUG
Molecule: ribosomal RNA, 481 nt
Filed under: uncultured bacterium
Lineage: Bacteria
Description: partial 16S ribosomal RNA
Rfam family: Bacterial small subunit ribosomal RNA
Source: RNAcentral